UCAUCAUGCCCUUAUGACCUGGGCUACACACGUGCUACGAAUGGUUGGUACACGAGUUGCGAGUCGGUGACGGCGAGCUAAUCUCUUAAAGCCAAUCUCAGUUCGGAUUGUAGGCUGCAACUCGCCUACAUGAAGUCGGAAUCGCUAGUAAUCGCGGAUCAGCACGCCGCGGUGAAUACGUUCCCGGGCCUU
RNAcentral lists this ribosomal RNA (192 nucleotides) under uncultured Streptococcus sp. Its description in RNAcentral is "partial 16S ribosomal RNA". It matches the Rfam family "Bacterial small subunit ribosomal RNA", at positions 1190 to 1382 of the family's 1533-position model. Lineage: Bacteria; Bacillati; Bacillota; Bacilli; Lactobacillales; Streptococcaceae. The record is from RNAcentral.